RNAcentral lists this ribosomal RNA (782 nucleotides) under uncultured Neocallimastigales. RNAcentral's name for it is "partial large subunit ribosomal RNA". It matches the Rfam family "Eukaryotic large subunit ribosomal RNA", at positions 23 to 643 of the family's 3401-position model. The record is from RNAcentral. Lineage: Eukaryota; Fungi; Neocallimastigomycota; Neocallimastigomycetes; Neocallimastigales.
GAGACUCUGUGCGCGUGCAUAUCAAUAAGCGGAGGAAAAGAAACUAACAAGGAUUCCCCUAGUAACGGCGAGUGAAGCGGGAAGAGCUCAAAUUUGAAAUCUUAAAGGUUUUCCCUUGACGAAUUGUAGUUUAAAGAAGUGUUUUCUGUUGGAGUUUCGGUAAAAGUUCUUUGGAAUAGGACAUCAUAGAGGGUGAGAAUCCCGUAUUUGACCAUUACUUUCCAGCUGUGUGAUACACUUUCAAAGAGUCGGAUUGUUUGGGAAUGCAGUCCAAAAUGGGUGGUAAAUUUCAUCUAAAGCUAAAUACUGGCGAGAGACCGAUAGCGAACAAGUACCGUGAGGGAAAGAUGAAAAGAACUUUGAAAAGAGAGUUAAACAGUACGUGAAAUUGUCAAAAGGGAAGCGUUUGACACCAGUGUUGUUUUUCGAAAAUCAAUUAAGAUGCAUGAUUUUGUGUUAAAGUAUUGACUUUAUCAGGCUUUCUGCACUUUUUCUAUGUAACUUUUUAAUGCACUUUUCGGUUAACAAGUCAACAUCAAUUUCUUUUGUUGUAAAAGGGUCAUUGAGGAAGGUGGCUUUCUUUUCGGAGAAAGUGUUUAUAGCCUUUGGCCUCUGACAAUCGGAGAGAUUGAGGUCUGCAGCGUAGAUCCUUCGGGGUUAGAUACAUUUGUGCUAAGUUAUAGCCUUUCAUAGACAACUUGCUGACUAUGAUCAGUCAUGUAGCUUACUCGCUUAUGUGCUAUUUUACCUACGCUUAGGAUGUUGAAGAUGUAGCACAUCAU